GAAGAGACGUUGCCUAUCUGUCUCCCUCCUCUUUUUGAUGAUAAACAGAGAACACGUGGCUUCAGCGGUAAUGCAGCCAAAUGAAUGCCAGAGCACAACGGGCGAAGGGAGAAAUAGAACUGAAAGAGACGAAGGCAAAAUGAUGGAGCUGAGGCGAAGGGAACGCAGUUUUUGAGGACCAAAUAUUGGACAACUAGCUAUUCAACUGCUCCUUGGCCAGUACGUGCAGACCAGUCAUGGACCUAGCAGACUCAGAUGACAAAAUUCUCCAAGCCAUGAGCACUGCUCGGCAGACACAAGGAGUUCCUUCAGGAGGUUAUGGAGUCUAUUCUAAACCUUUGCACUAACAUCAACUCAAUUGCCGGCAAGUUGACAUCCAAUGGUCCACCAUGGAUUUCAUCACCUACUCCAGCCCAGCCUCACACCUCCAAUCAGGGAAUGAUCUACUAA
Molecule: long non-coding RNA, 450 nt
Organism: Hippocampus comes (tiger tail seahorse)
Lineage: Eukaryota; Metazoa; Chordata; Actinopteri; Syngnathiformes; Syngnathidae
Exons: 3
Source: RefSeq, a predicted model, not a curated record